This 306-nucleotide unclassified non-coding RNA is filed under the name uncultured fungus. RNAcentral describes it as "partial contains small subunit ribosomal RNA, internal transcribed spacer 1, and 5.8S ribosomal RNA". The stretch from base 1 to 73 matches the Rfam family "Eukaryotic small subunit ribosomal RNA", at positions 1759 to 1831 of the family's 1831-position model. The record is from RNAcentral. Lineage: Eukaryota; Fungi.
GCAAACUUGGUCAUUUAGAGGAAGUAAAAGUCGUAACAAGGUCUCCGUUGGUGAACCAGCGGAGGGAUCAUUCAAAAGACGCCCGCGGCGGCCACUGUAACAGGUGCUGCCGCGGUAUCGCCUAACCCCUGUGAACCGCCUACCUUAAACGUUGCCUCGGCGGGCGGCCCCCUUAAAGGGCCACCGCCGGCGGCCCCUAGCAAGAGCUCUAGCCACCGCGGCCUGCCUCUGAUUAGUGACACGUUGCAAACGCUAAAAACUUUCAACAACGGAUCUCUUGGCUCCAGCAUCGAUGAAGAACGCAGC